GCCAGAGUGGUGAAAUUGGUAGACACAGCGGACUUAAAAUCCGCCGGGCACAUAAGCCCUUGCCGGUUCGAUCCCGGUCUCUGGCACCA
This 89-nucleotide transfer RNA is filed under the name Aeromonas jandaei. RNAcentral describes it as "tRNA-Leu". It matches the Rfam family "tRNA". Rfam says of the family: Transfer RNA (tRNA) molecules are approximately 80 nucleotides in length. Their secondary structure includes four short double-helical elements and three loops (D, anti-codon, and T loops). The record is from RNAcentral. RNAcentral also lists the same sequence under 4 other names. Lineage: Bacteria; Pseudomonadati; Pseudomonadota; Gammaproteobacteria; Aeromonadales; Aeromonadaceae.